CAGUGGUCCCUAAGGCGACCGUUCUUGGGCGCGGCUCGGAGAAGCAGCUUUGCAGGCAGAAGGCGCGCUCCUGGCUGCAAGGAGCCGCGUACACCGCGCGGCGAGGACGCUGGGAGCUACUACGGUCCGCUGACCGCCCCGGGACUUUGGGGCUGCGUAAGGAACUCAUCAGUGUCAACCGAUUAGAAAUCAGGGGUUAAGAAGAAAGCCACGGUUACUCCAGCCUCUGGCGGGCAAAGUUGUCCGGGUCCUGCCUGCCUGCCGGCUUUCUCUUCCUCCUUCCUUGCAUCCGUUUCAUCCGUUUCUCCCCCCUUCCUUUCAGACUCAUUCUUGUUCUUUCUUCUCUCAAAUCGCUUUUCCUCAACCAUACCCGGCCAACACUCUCCCUCCCCAAGACAGUCUGAGACUCAUAUUGCAGCUGGAAAACGUAUCACUUAAGAGAAAGCUCUUCCAGGGGAAAGAAUUCGAAUUGAAGUGAAAGGGAGAUCAGAGGAGAGAGAGGGAGACCCCGCCCCGAUAGUCCAGAACACGCUGUAACAAAGCAAAGUCCACGGGAGCUUCACGCUCUACCCUCCAACCUGGCUGCAGGCACCAAAGCAGAACUUCUCCUAACUCAAGCUAAGAAUAGGGAAAAGAAGUCAAGCUCGGGGCCCGGCCCUGCCCCCUCCCGCAGGCGGGGCUGGGGGAGGGGAGAUUUCUCCAGCCGGCUGAUGCUCCCUUGCUCAACCCGGGCCCCUUGGCUGCGGCGGUCUGGGGGAGGGGCGCGGAGCCGCACUGGAGCCUGCCCGGCCCUCGCGCGGAGCCAGGGCCACGGCCAGGGACCUGCGGUCCGACCCGGGCUGACGGCGGCGGCGUACUGGGAGCCGGUGGGAAGAUGAUUGUAGCUGCGACCGCGGAACUGCAGGAGGGAGACCACGAGGAAGUGUUGGGGGAAGCCAAGCCUCAGCUCAGCCCGGGCAGCAAGCACCUACCUGAUUCCAGGGAACCGGAGUCCUGCGGUGGCAGUCACGUAAUGAUCGGGUAUCAGAAAAAGACGUCAGCAUCCUAGUCCCUCAAGGAACAUAUUAACUAUUUUGUGCUGUCCUCUUGGAUGAUAAGAUCCGGAGUCAUCGACUUCUCAUAAACACCUUUCACUGAUACAAUCCAAUUUUUAAGAAGUGCAAUUAUUUUGAUGGUUUUCAAUGUUGCCCAUUUCUCAACGAUGGGUAAAGAAUUCAUACAAUUUCGAGGAUGGUAAAAGUCAUGUUUUUAAUUAUGUCUCUAUGAUUUCUCUUUACUUUUCAUCAAGCCUCAGCAAUCAGAGCUCUGGCCUCUAGAAUUAAGCACCCUCAAGCUCUCCUAUUAAUAAAUUUAAUUUAGAUCUCCUAA
This is a long non-coding RNA of Neofelis nebulosa (Clouded leopard), 1368 nucleotides long. RefSeq lists it as uncharacterized. The record is from RefSeq and is a predicted model, not a curated record. NCBI's taxonomy places the organism in Eukaryota, Metazoa, Chordata, Mammalia, Carnivora, Felidae. The transcript is spliced from 2 exons.